Phrynosoma platyrhinos (Desert horned lizard) is the source of this 72-nucleotide non-coding RNA. The record is from the annotation of a GenBank genome assembly. Lineage: Eukaryota; Metazoa; Chordata; Lepidosauria; Squamata; Phrynosomatidae.
GCCAAUGAGGUAUAGUGGUUUGAGUGUUGGACUACAACUCUGGAGAACAGAGUUCAAAUCCCUGCUUAGACA